CCUGGCUCACGACGAACGCUGGCGGCGCGCCUAACACAUGCAAGUCGAACGAGAGAUGAGGAGCUUGCUCUUCAAAUCGAGUGGCGAACGGGUGAGUAACGCGUGAGGAACCUGCCUCAAAGAGGGGGACAACAGUUGGAAACGACUGCUAAUACCGCAUAAGCCCACGGCUCGGCAUCGAGCAGAGGGAAAAGGAGCAAUCCGCUUUGAGAUGGCCUCGCGUCCGAUUAGCUAGUUGGUGAGGUAACGGCCCACCAAGGCGACGAUCGGUAGCCGGACUGAGAGGUUGAACGGCCACAUUGGGACUGAGACACGGCCCAGACUCCUACGGGAGGCAGCAGUGGGGAAUAUUGCACAAUGGGGGAAACCCUGAUGCAGCGACGCCGCGUGGAGGAAGAAGGUCUUCGGAUUGUAAACUCCUGUUGUUGAGGAAGAUAAUGACGGUACUCAACAAGGAAGUGACGGCUAACUACGUGCCAGCAGCCGCGGUAAAACGUAGGUCACAAGCGUUGUCCGGAAUUACUGGGUGUAAAGGGAGCGCAGGCGGGAGAACAAGUUGGAAGUGAAAUCCAUGGGCUCAACCCAUGAACUGCUUUCAAAACUGUUUUUCUUGAGUAGUGCAGAGGUAGGCGGAAUUCCCGGUGUAGCGGUGGAAUGCGUAGAUAUCGGGAGGAACACCAGUGGCGAAGGCGGCCUACUGGGCACCAACUGACGCUGAGGCUCGAAAGUGUGGGUAGCAAACAGGAUUAGAUACCCUGGUAGUCCACACCGUAAACGAUGAUUACUAGGUGUUGGAGGAUUGACCCCUUCAGUGCCGCAGUUAACACAAUAAGUAAUCCACCUGGGGAGUACGACCGCAAGGUUGAAACUCAAAGGAAUUGACGGGGGCCCGCACAAGCAGUGGAGUAUGUGGUUUAAUUCGACGCAACGCGAAGAACCUUACCAAGUCUUGACAUCCCUUGACGAUGCUGGAAACAGUAUUUCUCUUCGGAGCAAGGAGACAGGUGGUGCAUGGUUGUCGUCAGCUCGUGUCGUGAGAUGUUGGGUUAAGUCCCGCAACGAGCGCAACCCUUAUGGUCAGUUACUACGCAAGAGGACUCUGGCCAGACUGCCGUUGACAAAACGGAGGAAGGUGGGGAUGACGUCAAAUCAUCAUGCCCUUUAUGACUUGGGCUACACACGUACUACAAUGGCGUUAAACAAAGAGAAGCAAGACCGCGAGGUGGAGCAAAACUCAGAAACAACGUCCCAGUUCGGACUGCAGGCUGCAACUCGCCUGCACGAAGUCGGAAUUGCUAGUAAUCGUGGAUCAGCAUGCCACGGUGAAUACGUUCCCGGGCCUUGCACACACCGCCC
RNAcentral lists this ribosomal RNA (1356 nucleotides) under uncultured bacterium. Its description in RNAcentral is "bacterial SSU rRNA". It matches the Rfam family "Bacterial small subunit ribosomal RNA", at positions 18 to 1395 of the family's 1533-position model. The record is from RNAcentral.